Gossypium raimondii (Peruvian cotton) is the source of this 141-nucleotide non-coding RNA. NCBI's taxonomy places the organism in Eukaryota, Viridiplantae, Streptophyta, Magnoliopsida, Malvales, Malvaceae. The record is from Rfam.
UGUCAAAAAAUUCAUCCAUUUCUACCGUUAGAAAUCAGUGUAGCAGUCUAACCAAAUAGUCAUACGUGAUGUGUCACGUGUAUCUCAUAUUGACAUAUAGGGACCAAAUUUUAACAAUAAAAAUUGAUGAAAUUUUUAACA